GGGGUAUGCAGUUGCCAUGAAACAAACUUAGUCUAAUGCUCUUGGACCUUUUCCUUCUAAUUAGAGAUCAGAGACUGAUUAGAAAAGUCUUUGAACUGCAUCCAUUUAACAGUGAUGUGUGUCAAGGAAAUGGAGCAUAUAUUAUAUUAGUCAACAACAGAAUUGAGAGACCCCAUCCAGGAGGAAAUAAAUUGUUACAGAUGAAUAUGGUUCUUACCCCCCAUUUUGUGGUAUAGACUGUGUUCCAACAAAAUUUGCAAUGAAGUGAUAAUUGCUAAAAUACUACUGUUCAAGAGUCCUGCAAGGUCCACUGUGAAAGGAUUAAAACGUCUGGACCAGGAGGUGGAAAAGCUUGUUUGAGGGGGUGAUAUUAGUAUUGGGUCUUCAAUGGCAGAACUUUACUAAUAAGAAUAAUAAGUAAAGGAAGGGAAAAGUCUGAAAGACUUGAGAAACAGCAUGGUUGGGACACUAUAGCAGGGUCCAGGAUAAUUGGAACAUGGUGAUGUGGCUUGGUAGGUCAUGAGGCCAGAAAGGUGAUCUAGAAAGUGAUUUGGCCAGAUCAGUUGAUUUUCCACGUGUGAUUAGGGAAGAAGCACUGAACAUUGAAUUGUCCCCUCUUGGAAUUCUUAUUGUUUUUAACAGUCUUCCCAUAUUCAUGCUGCCACUCUCCUCUGAGAAAGUCUUUUUUAAAAUAAUUAUUGAGCCAUAUUAAUUUUACCAAAUAAUAGGUUUCAAUGUGACAUUUCCAAAUAUGCAUAUAUUGUGGUUUAAUCAGAUCCACCCUCCCUAUCUUGCUCAGGAAGUCUUUAUGUAUUAAUUUAUUCUUUGAGCAUACUUCAUUCCCCCACCAGAGUUCAAGUUCCUCAGGACAGGAACUCUUUCUUCCUCUUCUAGCUACGUAUAGGUCAGGCUAUUAUUUGGUACUAAGAAUUUGAUACAGGUAUGCCUGAGGAAUGUUAGAGGAGGCAGCAACAAACAAACAA
RNAcentral lists this long non-coding RNA (983 nucleotides) under Marmota monax (woodchuck). Lineage: Eukaryota; Metazoa; Chordata; Mammalia; Rodentia; Sciuridae. The record is from RNAcentral.